Molecule: ribosomal RNA, 1249 nt
Filed under: Bacillus sp. (in: firmicutes)
Lineage: Bacteria; Bacillati; Bacillota; Bacilli; Caryophanales; Bacillaceae
Description: bacterial SSU rRNA
Rfam family: Bacterial small subunit ribosomal RNA
Source: RNAcentral
GUUAGCGGCGGACGGGUGAGUAACACGUGGGUAACCUGCCUGUGAGACUGGGAUAACUCCGGGAAACCGGAGCUAAUACCGGAUAGUUCCUUGAACCGCAUGGUUCAAGGAUGAAAGACGGUUUCGGCUGUCACUUACAGAUGGACCCGCGGCGCAUUAGCUAGUUGGUGGGGUAAUGGCUCACCAAGGCGACGAUGCGUAGCCAACCUGAGAGGGUGAUCGGCCACACUGGGACUGACACACGGCCCACACUCCUACGGGAGGCAGCAUUAGGGAAUCUUCCGCAAUGGACGAAAGUCUGACGGAGCAACGCCGCGUGAGUGAUGAAGGUUUUCGGAUCCUAAAGCUCUGUUGUUAGGGAAGAACAAGUGCGAGAGUAACUGCUCGCACCUUGACGGUACCUAACCAGAAAGCCACGGCUAACUACGUGCCAGCAGCCGCGGUAAUACGUAGGUGGCAAGCGUUGUCCGGAAUUAUUGGGCGUAAAGGGCUCGCAGGCGGUUUCUUAAGUCUGAUGUGAAAGCCCCCGGCUCAACCGGGGAGGGUCAUUGGAAACUGGGAAACUUGAGUGCAGAAGAGGAGAGUGGAAUUCCACGUGUAGCGGUGAAAUGCGUAGAGAUGUGGAGGAACACCAGUGGCGAACGCGACUCUCUGGUCUGUAACUGACGCUGAGGAGCGAAAGCGUGUGGAGCGAACAGGAUUAGAUACCCUGGUAGUCCACGCCGUAAACGAUGAGUGCUAAGUGUUAGGGGUUUCCGCCCCUUAGUGCUGCAGCUAACGCAUUAAGCACUCCGCCUGGCGAGUACGGUCGCAAGACUGAAACUCAAAGGAAUUGACGGGGGCCCGCACAAGCGGUGGAGCAUGUGGUUUAAUUCGAAGCAACGAGAAGAACCUUACCAGGUCUUGACAUCCUCUGACAACCCUAGAGAUAGGGCUUUCCCUUCGGGGACAGAGUGACAGGUGGUGCAUGGUUGUCGUCAGCUCUUGUCGUGAGAUGUUGGGUUAAGUCCCGCAACGAGCGCCACCCUUGAUUUUAGUCGCCAGCACUUAGUUGGGCACUAUAAGGGGACUGCCGGUGACAAACCGGAGGAAGGUGGGGAUGACGUCAAUUCAUCAUGCCCCUUAUGACCUGGGCUACACCCGUGCUCCAAUGGACAGAACAAAGGGCUGCGAGACCGCAAGGUUUAGCCAAUCCCAUAAAUCUGUUUCCAUUUCGGAUGGCAUUCUGCAACUCGCCUGCGGAAGCGGG